This 254-nucleotide ribosomal RNA is filed under the name uncultured bacterium. RNAcentral describes it as "partial 16S ribosomal RNA". It matches the Rfam family "Bacterial small subunit ribosomal RNA", at positions 524 to 776 of the family's 1533-position model. RNAcentral also lists the same sequence under 1 other name. The record is from RNAcentral.
UACGGGGGGAGCAAGCGUUGUUCGGAUUUACUGGGCGUAAAGGGCGCGUAGGCGGCCACCGCAAGUCAGUUGUGAAAGCUCUGGGCUUAACCCAGAAAGGUCAACUGAUACUGCGGGGCUAGAGUGCAGAAGGGGCAACUGGAAUUCUCGGUGUAGCGGUGAAAUGCGUAGAUAUCGAGAGGAACACCUGCGGCGAAGGCGGGUUGCUGGGCUGACACUGACGCUGAUGCGCGAAAGCUAGGGGAGCGAACGGG